RNAcentral lists this ribosomal RNA (253 nucleotides) under uncultured bacterium. RNAcentral describes it as "partial 16S ribosomal RNA". It matches the Rfam family "Bacterial small subunit ribosomal RNA", at positions 524 to 776 of the family's 1533-position model. The record is from RNAcentral.
UACGUAGGUGGCAAGCGUUGUUCGGAUUUACUGGGCGUAAAGCGCACGUAGGCGGAUUGUUAAGUCAGGGGUGAAAUCCUGGAGCUCAACUCCAGAACUGCCUUUGAUACUGGCAAUCUAGAGUCCGGAAGAGGUGUGUGGAACUCCUAGCGUAGAGGUGGAAUUCGUAGAUAUUAGGAAGAACACCAGUGGCGAAGGCGGCUCACUGGUCCGGUACUGACGCUGAGGUGCGAAAGCGUGGGGAGCAAACAGG